This is a non-coding RNA of Paralichthys olivaceus (Japanese flounder), 810 nucleotides long. NCBI's taxonomy places the organism in Eukaryota, Metazoa, Chordata, Actinopteri, Pleuronectiformes, Paralichthyidae. The record is from RefSeq and is a predicted model, not a curated record.
CUCACCAGCUGCACCUCAUCUGUCAUCAAGCAUCUACACAUACUCCUCCUGACCACCACCUCCUCCUGACCACCUCCACGCUGCCAGAUCGUUGUCUCUGCUACCACUCCUCCUGUUCUUGCUCCGGUCCCUGCUCUUUGCCUCCUCACCUAGCUACUCACCUCCUUUCCUGGAACCCUGCUUUACACCCCUUACCUUGGACAAACAUCUGGACCUGCCACCUUUACCCCCAUCGCUCCAGCCUCAGCCUAAAGCUCCAGGCUCCCCACUACCAGCUCCAGCUCUCCCUAAACCGCAGCCUUGCAGGCUGAAGGUCAACCAGGCGGAAGACGGCUGUCUCAGGAUCAGUCGCACAGACACCACAUGAUCAGGCUCCACCAUCAUCUGUUCAGAUGAGGAAUAAAUGAAAGAAGGAUAAAGAAAGUGUGAAGACGUCUGGAAGGAGUGAAAUGAAGAAGCCUCAGUUUAUGUUGCACUUUGUUUCACAUUUCAUGACUUUCCAGGUUUUUCAUGACCAUGAGAACAAUUCAACUGAAAAUGAACUGAACCAUUAACUUCACCUUUUCUAGAAUCAUGGACUAAAUAAAGAUGGACGACAUGACAGCUCUCAAAAAGUGAAGUCAAAGGUCCUCUAUUGACCCCUGGUGGCUGGUGGCAGUAUAUCUUCCAUAUCCUCCAUGUAAGCAGAUGGGACAUGGAUUUAUUCAGACGUUUAUAACGCUGAAACACUUCGGAAGAAGAAACGUCUGAGUUCUGCUGCAGGGCAUAAAAUUACAGAGGAAACCUACACACAAUCUGCAGCCCACCUGA